Molecule: ribosomal RNA, 645 nt
Filed under: uncultured Bacilli bacterium
Lineage: Bacteria; Bacillati; Bacillota; Bacilli
Description: bacterial SSU rRNA
Rfam family: Bacterial small subunit ribosomal RNA
Source: RNAcentral
GUGCUUGCACCGAGCGGAUGAGUUGCGAACGGGUGAGUAACGCGUAGGUAACCUGCCUCUUAGCGGGGGAUAACUAUUGGAAACGAUAGCUAAUACCGCAUAAAAGUCGAUAUCGCAUGAUAUUGAUUUGAAAGGUGCAAUUGCAUCACUAAGAGAUGGACCUGCGUUGUAUUAGCUAGUUGGUGAGGUAACGGCUCACCAAGGCGACGAUACAUAGCCGACCUGAGAGGGUGAUCGGCCACACUGGGACUGAGACACGGCCCAGACUCCUACGGGAGGCAGCAGUAGGGAAUCUUCGGCAAUGGGGGCAACCCUGACCGAGCAACGCCGCGUGAGUGAAGAAGGUUUUCGGAUCGUAAAGCUCUGUUGUAAGAGAAGAACGAGUGUGAGAGUGGAAAGUUCACACUGUGACGGUAGCUUACCAGAAAGGGACGGCUAACUACGUGCCAGCAGCCGCGGUAAUACGUAGGUCCCGAGCGUUAUCCGGAUUUAUUGGGCGUAAAGCGAGCGCAGGCGGUUAGAUAAGUCUGAAGUUAAAGGCUGUGGCUUAACCAUAGUACGCUUUGGAAACUGUUUAACUUGAGUGCAGAAGGGGAGAGUGGAAUUCCAUGUGUAGCGGUGAAAUGCGUAGAUAUAUGGAGGAAC